UCAGAAUGAACGCUGGCGGCAGGCCUAACACAUGCAAGUCGAACGGAAACGACAAGAACAAACUCUUCGGAGGGCGAUCUUGGGCGUCGAGUGGCGGACGGGUGAGUAACGCGUGGGAAUCUACCCUUUAGUUGGGGACAACAUAUGGAAACGUAUGCUAAUACCGAAUAUGCUCUACGGAGUAAAGGUGGCCUCUACUUGUAAGCUAUCGCUAAAGGAUGAGCCCGCGUUAGAUUAGCUAGUUGGUGGGGUAAAGGCCUACCAAGGCGACGAUCUAUAGCUGGUUUGAGAGGAUGAUCAGCCACACUGGGACUGAGACACGGCCCANACUCCUACGGGAGGCAGCAGUGGGGAAUAUUGCACAAUGAGGGAAACCUUGAUGCANCCAUGCCGCGUGUGUGAAGAAGGCCCGAGGGUUGUAAAGCACUUUCAAUUGUGAGGAAAGGUUAGUCGCUAAUAUCGGCUAGCUGUGACGUUAACUUUAGAAGAAGCACCGGCUAACUCUGUG
Molecule: ribosomal RNA, 508 nt
Filed under: uncultured bacterium
Lineage: Bacteria
Description: bacterial SSU rRNA
Rfam family: Bacterial small subunit ribosomal RNA
Source: RNAcentral